GUCUCAAUAGUUUAAAGAAAACACCAGUUUUGUAAAUUGGGAAUGAUCAAGUAUCUUGAGAUA
This 63-nucleotide transfer RNA is filed under the name Haematopinus asini. Its description in RNAcentral is "tRNA-Thr". It matches the Rfam family "tRNA". From Rfam's summary of the family: Transfer RNA (tRNA) molecules are approximately 80 nucleotides in length. Their secondary structure includes four short double-helical elements and three loops (D, anti-codon, and T loops). Lineage: Eukaryota; Metazoa; Arthropoda; Insecta; Psocodea; Haematopinidae. The record is from RNAcentral.